RNAcentral lists this ribosomal RNA (447 nucleotides) under uncultured bacterium. RNAcentral describes it as "bacterial SSU rRNA". It matches the Rfam family "Bacterial small subunit ribosomal RNA", at positions 28 to 457 of the family's 1533-position model. The record is from RNAcentral.
GAUGAACGCUGGCGGCGUGCUUAACACAUGCAAGUCGAGCGAAGCACUUAAGUUCGAUUCUUUGGAUGAAGACUUUUGUGACUGAGCGGCGGACGGGUGAGUAACGCGUGGGUAACCUGCCUCAUACAGGGGGAUAACAGUUAGAAAUGGCUGCUAAUACCGCAUAAGACCACAGUACUGCAUGGUACAGUGGUAAAAACUCCGGUGGUAUGAGAUGGACCCGCGUCUGAUUAGGUAGUUGGUGAGGUAACGGCCCACCAAGCCGACGAUCAGUAGCCGACCUGAGAGGGUGACCGGCCACAUUGGGACUGAGACACGGCCCAGACUCCUACGGGAGGCAGCAGUGGGGAAUAUUGCACAAUGGGCGAAAGCCUGAUGCAGCGACGCCGCGUGAAGGAUGAAGUAUUUCGGUAUGUAAACUUCUAUCAGCAGGGAAGAAAAUGACGG